GGGGAAUUAGCUUAAAAUGGUAGAGCCUUCGCUUAGCAUGCGAAAGUCACGGGGAUCGAUACUCCGAUUCCCCA
Non-coding RNA from Massospora cicadina, 74 nucleotides. The record is from the annotation of a GenBank genome assembly. NCBI's taxonomy places the organism in Eukaryota, Fungi, Entomophthoromycota, Entomophthoromycetes, Entomophthorales, Entomophthoraceae.